Molecule: ribosomal RNA, 253 nt
Filed under: uncultured bacterium
Lineage: Bacteria
Description: partial 16S ribosomal RNA
Rfam family: Bacterial small subunit ribosomal RNA
Source: RNAcentral
UACGUAGGGGGCAAGCGUUAUCCGGAAUUACUGGGUGUAAAGGGAGCGUAGACGGUAAUGUAAGUCUGGAGUGAAAGGCGGGGGCCCAACCCCCGGACUGCUCUGGAAACUAUGUUACUAGAGUGCAGGAGAGGUAAGCGGAAUUCCUAGUGUAGCGGUGAGAUGCGUAGAUAUUAGGAGGAACACCAGUGGCGAAGGCGGCUUACUGGACUGUAACUGACGUUGAGGCUCGAAAGCGUGGGGAGCAAACAGG